CACGAACCCGACAAACGUUAUUCGGAAUUACUGGGCGUAAAGCGCGUGUAGGCGGCUUGGCAAGUCGGAUGUGAAAUCCCGGGGCUCAACCCCGGAAGUGCAUUCGAAACUGCCUCGCUAGAGUUCUGGAGAGGAAGGUGGAAUGCUUGGUGUAGAGGUGAAAUUCGUAGAUAUCAAGCGGAACACCGGUGGCGAAGGCGACCUUCUGGACAGUGACUGACGCUGAGACGCGAAAGCGUGGGGAGCAAACAGG
RNAcentral lists this unclassified non-coding RNA (253 nucleotides) under uncultured Myxococcales bacterium. RNAcentral's name for it is "contains 16S-23S intergenic spacer region". It matches the Rfam family "Bacterial small subunit ribosomal RNA", at positions 524 to 776 of the family's 1533-position model. The record is from RNAcentral. Lineage: Bacteria; Pseudomonadati; Myxococcota; Myxococcia; Myxococcales.